GGAGACUGCCGGUGAUAAACCGGAGGAAGGUGGGGACGACGUCAAGUCAUCAUGGCCCUUACGAGUAGGGCUACACACGUGCUACAAUGGCGCAUACAGAGGGCGGCCAACUUGCGAGAGUGAGCGAAUCCCAAAAAGUGCGUCGUAGUCCGGAUCGGAGUCUGCAACUCGACUCCGUGAAGUCGGAAUCGCUAGUAAUCGUGGAUCAGAAUGCCACGGUGAAUACGUUCCCGGGCCUUGUACACACCGCCCGUCACACCAUGGGAGUGGGCUGCAAAAGAAGUAGGUAGUUUAACCUUCGGGAGGACGCUUACCACUUUGUGGUUCAUGACUGGGGUGAAGUCGUAACAAGGUAGCGCUAGGGGAACCUGGCGCUGGAUCACCUCCUUAUACGAUGAU
This 399-nucleotide ribosomal RNA is filed under the name Vibrio parahaemolyticus. RNAcentral's name for it is "bacterial SSU rRNA". It matches the Rfam family "Bacterial small subunit ribosomal RNA", at positions 1144 to 1533 of the family's 1533-position model. Lineage: Bacteria; Pseudomonadati; Pseudomonadota; Gammaproteobacteria; Vibrionales; Vibrionaceae. The record is from RNAcentral.